Molecule: ribosomal RNA, 900 nt
Filed under: Triticum aestivum (bread wheat)
Lineage: Eukaryota; Viridiplantae; Streptophyta; Magnoliopsida; Poales; Poaceae
Description: partial small subunit ribosomal RNA
Source: RNAcentral
AUGAGGGCCAAAGAUUCAUAUUUCUACUGGAGAAUCAAACUUGAUGAUGAGGACAGGGUUGAGAAGUUGUUAUGGAUAGAUGGCGCAUCACGCAGGGCAUAUGCAAAGUAUAAUGAAUGUUUGUCGUUUGACACGACAUACAUGACAAACAUGUACAAGAUGCCUCAAUCCAUCCAGUUUGGGUGUGGCUUCGUUCGAAACGAACUAAAGGAAAACUUUGUCUGGCUGUUUAACACAUUCCUCCAUGCAAUGGGUGGUGUUGCCCCUAAAAACAUCAUCACAGACUGGGACUUUGCAAUGAGGAGUGCAAUCGACGAGGUCUUCUUGAACAUAAUACACAGAAAUUACCGCUGGCAUAUAAUGAAGAAGGCGCAGGAGAAACUUGGAAAACUUAUGGCUGAUGAUAAACCACUAAACAGAGCAUUCAAAGACUGUGUCGACAACAACUUGACUGAGGAAGAGUUUGAAAACAAAUGGUGGGCAAUGAUGGAUGAACAUGGCCAGAUCGACAAUGAAAAUUUUCAAUGGCUGUGGGAAAAUAGGAAAUGUUGGGCCCCAAUGUACUACAUGAAGCAUUUCUUUCCAUUCUUGCAGACAACUGCAAGGAGCGAGGGAUUCAAUACUGUGCUCAAGAAGUACGUGAACCCCAACAACUCAUUGAUUGAAUUCGCAACUCAAUACACUGCAAUCCAGGAGAAAGUAAUGGUGGCUGUGGCGAAAGAGCAAGUGGACACAAUUUACAAAGAGGCAGACAUGUAUUCGUUGAACCCAGUCAAGUUACAGAUGCGAGGGAUAUACACACAAAAUCUGUUCUCCAAGUUCCAGGUAGAGAUGAAGCUAAAGACUGCUUACGGAUGCGACACUUUGCAAGAUGGAACCUUCAGGAUGUGGUCGCUCUGA